AGAGAGGUGCCCGAGUGGUUGAAGGGGCACGCCUGGAAAGCGUGUAUACGGGUAACCGUAUCGAGGGUUCGAAUCCCUUCCUCUCUG
This 87-nucleotide transfer RNA is filed under the name Rhabdobacter roseus. It matches the Rfam family "tRNA". Rfam says of the family: Transfer RNA (tRNA) molecules are approximately 80 nucleotides in length. Their secondary structure includes four short double-helical elements and three loops (D, anti-codon, and T loops). The record is from Rfam by way of RNAcentral. Lineage: Bacteria; Pseudomonadati; Bacteroidota; Cytophagia; Cytophagales; Cytophagaceae.